CCUACGGGUGUCAGCAGUGGGGAAUAUUGCACAAUGGGGGAAACCCUGAUGCAGCGACGCCGCGUGAGUGAAGAAGUAAUUCGUUAUGUAAAGCUCUAUCAGCAGGGAAGAAAAUGACGGUACCUGAGUAAGAAGCCCCGGCUAACUACGUGCCAGCAGCCGCGGUAAUACGUAGGGGGCAAGCGGUAUCCGGCUUCACUGGGGGUAAAGGGAGCGUAGACGGCAGUGCAAGUCUGGAGUGAAAGGCGGGGGCUCAACCCCCGGACUGCUCUUGAAACUGGACGGCUGGAGUGCAGGAGGGGUAAGUGGAAGUCCUGGUGUAGCGGUGAAAUGCGGAGAUAUUAGGAGGAACACCAGUGGCGAAGGCGGGUUACUGGACUGUAACUGACGUUGAGGCUCGAAAGCGUGGGGAGCAAACAGGAUUAGAUACCCUAGUAGGC
This 440-nucleotide ribosomal RNA is filed under the name uncultured bacterium. RNAcentral describes it as "partial 16S ribosomal RNA". It matches the Rfam family "Bacterial small subunit ribosomal RNA", at positions 338 to 795 of the family's 1533-position model. The record is from RNAcentral.